GGUGCCUACUACUACGUGUAGGUUGCUGACGACGACCAGGAGUAGUUGAGGAGGAUCCCAGGCAGGAGGCCUGCGCCUCUUUUGAUCUGUAUCCCAGUUUGUGCUAGCCAUCUUAUGGCAACUUGUUUAACUUAUGUCUGUACUCAGAUAUUGUUGCUUCCGCUGACUCGUCUAUGAUCGAGCAUUUGUAUUCGAGCCCUCGAGGGCCCUGACUUGUAUUAUGAUGCUUGUAUGACUUAUUUUAUUUUAGAGUUGUGUUGUGAUAUCUUCCCGUGAGUCUCUGAUCUUGAUCGUACACGUUUACGUGUAUGAUUAGUGUACGGUUGAAUCGGGGGCGACACAAGUUGGUAUCAGAGCCAACUGCUUGUAGGAAUCCCCCUUCCACACUCCUUGGCCGAAGUUGAGUCUAGUCAUUGCAAAACUUUUACUAACAUGGCUAUGUGCCUUACGGGACACCCCCGCACCGGACACCCCCGCCUCCCUAUUCCUCGGUUGCGCACCGCUACAGGCACGGUUGCCACCGGACUCCCUCGCCGGUGACGCCCCCGCGCGGAUAAGGUAGCCUCGUGCCCCCUCGAGCUCCCCCUCGAUCUCAUCCACUCACCUACUCGUCCCCACGCCGUCUCCUCUCGGCCCUCCCCCAGAUCCACCUCUCCCCUUUCCCUCAGCUUCGCUGUGGAGAGGAGACCGACGCGGUCGCCACCGUGCCUCGCCCGUCCUCGCGGCCAUCGAGCCCCGUUCGCCUCGCCACCGUGCCUAUCAGCUCGGCCGCCGUCAACUACCUUGUCCCCGUCCACGAGUGCAAGUCGGGGGCAUCGCAGGCAGCGGAUCGAGCCGCCCUCCUUUCGGCACUGCUCCGGGGAUCCCCUUCGACUUCGGCGACACCUUCUGCUGCUACUAACCUUCCAGGGGCUUUAUGUAGCCGCCCGGUGAGCCUCGCCUCUCUUCCCUCUGUCCUCCUACCGUUGCCGCGCCCGUAGGUGCCGUUCCCCACAUGCCCGAGCUCGCCUCCGCCGAGCUCAUCGCCGGCCACGUUCCGGUGACCGAACGCCCGCGCAAGCGUGUCCAUCAUGUUCGCCCACACACGUGGACGCCGUACGUGCUCAACACCGCUCGUUUUGCUCGCCAUUGCGCCGUUAGCGAGCUCGCCGUGCCUCGGGUCUCCGUCGUCCAUGUCGUCGUCGGCGACUCCGGCCAUCCUAGCUCGCGUGACCACCCGCGUUGAACGCGGCGUUCUGCGCUCGUUCGAACACAAGUCACGGCGCGCGAUUUGGCGCUCUAUAGCAUAAAUCCGAGCCUCUCCGGCGAACUCGCCGCCGCGGAGAGCUCGCCGCCGCAGCUCCGGCGCCGGCCGCCGACGUGGCCGACCUGGGGCCACCCCCAGGGUCGCUGCCAGCGGGCCCCAUGGCCCCCAGUUGACCGGGUUGACCCAGUCAACUGCUGACUGGGCAGCCCAGUACCACUGACGUGUAGGCCCCACCACAUAUUUAAACUAAUUAAAAUGGUUUUAUAAUUAAAAGUAAUUAGUUUAGCUAACUAGUCACUAACAUGUGGGGCUCAACUGCUAAUUAACACCCUGUUAUUUUAAAAUAACCCACUGUUAGCCCUUUGUCUAUGACAUGCGGGACCCGCUGAUCAGUUUGACCUGGUCAGCGAGUCUGUUGACUGCUGACGUCAUUUUAUCUUUUCUGUUAAUUUAAAUAAAUCUAGAAAAUGGUUUAAUCUUUUAAAAUUCAUAGAAAACAAACCGUAACUCGGAUGAAAAUGUUUUCUACAUGAAAGUUGCUCAGAAAAAUCCAACGAAUCUGAAUGCGCGGUCCGUUUACAUGUCAAAUGCCUCUAACUAUCUGAACAUGGAACUUUCCCCCUCCGGUCAUUUGACUGACACAUGUCCGGAACCGGGAAUACAUUCCCGGUUGACUUCCCCCUUCGCCGGUAUCGUGUAGCCCCGCGGUAGAACACGUCUAGCUCUGCCUAUGGUCCUGUUAUGCACUUGCUUUCUAUGUAUUUACUGUUUCUCCCCCCCUCUUCUCUUCGGUGGACCCCGAGACCGAUGCCGCCCCUGUGAACGACUACGUCGACGACGACCCCUCCUUGCCAGAGCAACCAGGCAAGCCCCCCACUUGAUCACCAGAUAUCGCCUAUUCUCCUCUAUACUGCUUGCAUUAGAGUAGUGUAGCAUGUUGCUGCUUUCCGUUAAUCCUAUUCUGAUGCAUAGCCUGACAUUGUUGCUACAUCUGUUGAUACCUUACCUGCAAUCCUAAAUACUUAGUAUAGGAUGCUAGUUUAUCAUCAUUGGCCCUACAUUCUUGUCAGUCUGCCUUGCUAUACUAUUGGGCCGUGAUCACUCGGGAGGUGAUCACGGGUAUAUACUAUACAUACAUACAUACUAUACAGAUGGUGACUAAAGUCGGGUCAGCUCGUUGAGUACCCGCAAGUGAUUCCGAUGUGGGGGCUAGAAGGACAGGUGGCUCCAUCCCGGUAGAGGUGGGCCUGGGUUCCCGACGGCCCCCGGCUGUUACUUUGUGGCGGAGCGACAUGGCAGGUUGAGACCACCUAGGAGACAGGUGGGUCUGGCCCUGGUCGGCGUUCGCGGUUGCUUCAUAAUAACACGCUUAACGAGAUCUUGGUAUUUGAUCCGAGUCUGGCUACUGGCCUAUACGCACUAACCAACUACGCGGGAACAGUUAUGGGCACUCGACGUCGUGGUUUCAGCCAAAGCCUUCGUGACGUCAGCGACUGAGCGGCGCGCGCCGGGUUGGACUGCGUUAACGCAACUUCCUUUGUAAUGGAGGUUGCUAGGUCUGCUCACCGUCCGCGUACGCAACGUGCAGGUGUGCAAUGGGUGAUGGGCCCAGACCCCUGCACGCAUAGGAUUUAGACCGGCGUGCUGACCUCUCUGUUGUGCCUAGGUGGGGCUGCGACGUGUUGAUCUUCUGAGGCCGGGCAUGACCCAGGAAAGUGUGUCCGGCCAAAUGGGAUCGAGCGUGUUGGGUUAUGUGGUGCACCCCUGCAGGGAAGUUAAUCUAUUCGAAUAGCCGUGAUCUUCGGUAACAGGACGACUUGGAGUUGUACCUUGACCUUAUGACAACUAGAACCGGAUACUUAAUAAAACACACCCUUCCAAGUGCCAGAUACAACCCAGUGAUCGCUCUCUAACAGGGCGACGAGGAGAGGAUCGCCGGGUAGGAUUAUGCUAUGCGAUACUACUUGGAGAUGCUACUUGGAGGACUUCAGUCUACUCUCUUCUACAUGCUGCAAGACGGAGGCUGCCCGAAGCGUAGUCUUCGACAGGAUUAGCUAUCCCCCUCUUAUUCUGGCAUUCUGCAGUUCAGUCCACUGAUAUGGCCUUUACACAUAUAUCCAUGCAUAUGUAGUGUAGCUCCUUGCUUGCGAGUACUUUGAAUGAGUACUCACGGUUGCUUUUCUCCCUCUUUCCCCCCUUUCCCUUCUACCUGGUUGUCGCAACCAGAUGCUGGAGCCCUGGAGCCAGACGCCACCAUCGACGACGAUUCCUACUACACUGGAGGUGCCUACUACUAUGUGCAGGUUGCUGACGACGACCAGGAGUAGUUUAGGAGGAUCCCAGGCAGGAGGCCUGCGCCUCUUUCGAUCUGUAUCCCAGUUUGUGCUAGCCAUCUUAUGGCAACUUGUUUAACUUAUGUCUGUACUCAGAUAUUGUUGCUUCCGCUGACUCGUCUAUGAUCGAGCAUUUGUAUUCGAGCCCUCGAGGCCCCUGACUUGUAUUAUGAUGCUUGUAUGACUUAUUU
Molecule: long non-coding RNA, 3770 nt
Filed under: Triticum aestivum (bread wheat)
Lineage: Eukaryota; Viridiplantae; Streptophyta; Magnoliopsida; Poales; Poaceae
Description: long non-coding RNA (TAES_LNC027324)
Source: RNAcentral